UCGGGGAUCGUCUAAUGGCAGGACUCCAGUUUCUGGUACUGGCUAUCUAGGUUCGAAUCCUAGUCCCCGAGCCA
RNAcentral lists this transfer RNA (74 nucleotides) under Deltaproteobacteria bacterium. RNAcentral describes it as "tRNA-Gln". It matches the Rfam family "tRNA". From Rfam's summary of the family: Transfer RNA (tRNA) molecules are approximately 80 nucleotides in length. Their secondary structure includes four short double-helical elements and three loops (D, anti-codon, and T loops). Lineage: Bacteria; Pseudomonadati; Myxococcota; Myxococcia. The record is from RNAcentral. RNAcentral also lists the same sequence under 4 other names.